RNAcentral lists this small RNA (508 nucleotides) under Drosophila pseudoobscura pseudoobscura. RNAcentral's name for it is "GA31905". The record is from RNAcentral. Lineage: Eukaryota; Metazoa; Arthropoda; Insecta; Diptera; Drosophilidae.
CUUCGUAGAAAUCGCCAAUCCUUUGAAUGCCCAAACAUAAUGUGCCCACAUUAACAACUGAUCCAACCCCAGUCCAGCCCGGUCAUUUAUAAGCGACAACAAUUAACAGGGAAAAUGAAGAUUUCACAGGAAAUUCUCCACCAACAAUGUGCCCCGUUCGCCACCGGGGGAUAUCUCGCGUAUCAACAAUUACAAAUUAUACAAGAGUUUAUCGGGCGGCAAUUUCCUGACAAAUGAUCCCAGAUAGCAGACUGGUGCGUCGGGGCGGAACAAUCAAUCCAACACGUUCUAACGAUUUACAUGUCAACUUGACAGACAAUCGGCGUGGCUCGCGGAGAGAGAGAGACAAUGGUGUGGAGAGUGUGGAGAGUGGUGGCGCUAUCCUAACCGGCCAUCGAUCGGGACAACGACAACUUUGAAAUUGGAGUUUCACUUUCAUUUGUCAAUACUGUUUGACACCUUGUUGUGUGACAGCGAGCGGCGAUAGUCAUCGCCCCCCCUCUGUCCG